Molecule: small RNA, 482 nt
Filed under: Histoplasma capsulatum
Lineage: Eukaryota; Fungi; Ascomycota; Eurotiomycetes; Onygenales; Ajellomycetaceae
Also listed under: 1 other name
Description: hypothetical RNA
Source: RNAcentral
CAAUCGGAAAGUAUUUUUGUCCGUAACAGUCUCGGUAUAACAUUCAAGAAAUAGAGUUUGGUUUUUCUCUGACCCCCCAAAGCUUCUUUUCUGUCCCGCCUUGUUGUAUUUAUUGUUUCGUCUGCGUUGUGCCGAAUUCGUUGAGGACUGAUUGCCUUGGAGUUUUUAAAUCGUACUGAUUUUAAUUGGUCUAAAAAGAUGUACGGUGUCUGGUGUCAGUAGGAUGUAAGAGUUGAUCAAACCUAUGCUUUUUGUCUGUUUCAGAAUGAGACAAACUCUGGUGCUCUUGUCCUGAUAUUCCUGUCCCGUUGACGUGCGAUGGUGCUCCCCACUGGCAAGUUGACCACAUGUUUGUGGCUGGUUUUUGGCCAAUGGAAGAGAGCGGUUGGCGAUGCUGUGCCGUUGUCUUAGUUCUGUUGUAACCCAAGCAUGUCGACAUCCAGCUCUUCCGAAGAACAAUGUUAUUUGUGAUGAUUGUCGUG